UACGUAUGGAGCAAGCGUUAUCCGGAUUUACUGGGUGUAAAGGGUGCGUAGGUGGCAGUGCAAGUCAGAUGUGAAAGGCCGGGGCUUAACCCCGGAGCUGCAUUUGAAACUGCAUAGCUAGAGUACAGGAGAGGCAGGCGGAAUUCCUAGUGUAGCGGUGAAAUGCGUAGAUAUUAGGAGGAACACCAGUGGCGAAGGCGGCCUGCUGGACUGUUACUGACACUGAGGCACGAAAGCGUGGGGAGCAAACAGG
RNAcentral lists this ribosomal RNA (253 nucleotides) under Anaerobutyricum hallii. RNAcentral describes it as "partial 16S ribosomal RNA". It matches the Rfam family "Bacterial small subunit ribosomal RNA", at positions 524 to 776 of the family's 1533-position model. Lineage: Bacteria; Bacillati; Bacillota; Clostridia; Lachnospirales; Lachnospiraceae. The record is from RNAcentral.